Non-coding RNA from Malus domestica (apple), 172 nucleotides. NCBI's taxonomy places the organism in Eukaryota, Viridiplantae, Streptophyta, Magnoliopsida, Rosales, Rosaceae. The record is from RefSeq and is a predicted model, not a curated record.
UUGAUAGGAGGGAUGAUCACCUGUGACCCCUGAAUCAGUGGACCUAUCAGGCAAUGGUUCACGAAUUGAUUGGUAUUCAAGACAACAAAGUCGACUUACGAAACAUUGGAAAAUUUCCAAAGGAUCAACAGGAGGUUGUGCUGUCAUCAGAACAAGAUGCUUUUUUCAAAAA